This 635-nucleotide ribosomal RNA is filed under the name uncultured bacterium. RNAcentral's name for it is "bacterial SSU rRNA". It matches the Rfam family "Bacterial small subunit ribosomal RNA", at positions 77 to 692 of the family's 1533-position model. The record is from RNAcentral.
CCGCAGGGGUUUGUAGCGUGGCAAACGGGUGAGUAACGCGUGGGCGACCUGCCCUCGAGUGGGGGAUAACCUUCCGAAAGGAGGGCUAAUACCGCAUGAUAUGCCGCGUUUGGAUACGCGGACAUCAAAGCUGGGGAUCGCAAGACCUGGCGCUUGGGGAGGGGCCUACGUUCGAUUAGCUAGUUGGUGGGGUAACGGCUCACCAAGGCUACGAUCGAUAUCCGGCCUGAGAGGGCGGACGGACACACUGGGACUGAGACACGGCCCAGACUCCUACGGGAGGCAGCAGUAGGGAAUUGUUCGCAAUGGGCGCAAGCCUGACGACGCAACGCCGCGUGGAGGAUGAAGACCUUCGGGUCGUAAACUCCUUUCGACCGAGAUGAACAGCCACCGACCUAACACGUUGGUGGCCUGACAGUACCGAGGGAAGAAGCCCCGGCUAACUCCGUGCCAGCAGCCGCGGUAAUACGGGGGGGGCAAGCGUUGUUCGGAAUUACUGGGCGUAAAGGGUUCGUAGGUGGCCAACUAAGUCAGACGUGAAAUCCCUCAGCUCAACUGGGGAACUGCGUCUGAUACUGGUUGGCUUGAGUGCAGGAGAGGAACGCGGAAUUCCAGGUGUAGCGGUGAAAUGCGUA